CAGCCGUAAACUAUGCGCGUUAGGUGUAUCGGUGACCACGAGUUACCGAGGUGCCGAAGGGAAACCGUGAAACGUGCCGCCUGGGAAGUACGGUCGCAAGGCCGAAACUUAAAGGAAUUGGCGGGGGAGCACCACAACAGGUGGAGCCUGCGGUUUAAUUGGACUCAACGCCGGGAAGCUCACCGGAUAGGACAGCAGAAUGAUUGCCGGGCUGAAGACCCUGCAUGACUAGCUGAGAGGAGGUGCAUGGCGUCAGUGACU
Molecule: ribosomal RNA, 261 nt
Filed under: uncultured archaeon
Lineage: Archaea
Description: partial 16S ribosomal RNA
Rfam family: Archaeal small subunit ribosomal RNA
Source: RNAcentral